Oxyura jamaicensis (ruddy duck) is the source of this 3817-nucleotide long non-coding RNA. RefSeq lists it as uncharacterized. The record is from RefSeq and is a predicted model, not a curated record. NCBI's taxonomy places the organism in Eukaryota, Metazoa, Chordata, Aves, Anseriformes, Anatidae. The transcript has 2 exons.
UGAGCCAGUCCUCCCACCGCCAUCCUUGUCUCCUCCAGCUGUAGGAGGCAGGCCCCAGCUGCAGCUCUCCUUGCCCUGCCCUGAGGCAGGCAAUGGCGCUGGGUGAUCUGUUGGGCUGAAAUCUGAUGAGGCCCAUUUUGGGGGUGACAGGUGGAGGCACUCAGGGAUAACAAAGGAAGGGAAGAAAGAGGCACGGUUAGAGUGCUGCUGCAGGAAACUGGGACUUGUAGUGUUAGGGAGAUCUUCAUGUCCGUGCUGUGAAUUUGUGGCCUGCACUAUGAGGCCUACAUUUAACAACCAAGCCCUGGCUGAAGAUGGUCUCCUUCUCUCCUGGAGUUUCCUUCCUUGGCAGCAGACAUGGAGAGGGAACUGCUCUGCAGGAUUUUCCUGUGUGGUGAGGAAGGUCUGGUGACUAAAGUCCUCAUGAGAGCCCAUGAGGGAAACAGUGCAGCUGCUGGGUGAGUGGCAACAUGCUGUCAGAAGCUGGGACCUGGCUUGAUGGACAGAGCACAAACGCUGGAAUGUGAAGGUCAGUUUUCAACCUGGUAAAACAAAGAGGGGUUCCCCGAGCACCUCUGCAGGACUGCCAGUUUUGGACUUGCCCCAUGAGGGCUGAGCAGGACAGCCAACGAGGAAGGUGCCUGCAGCUGGUGGGGCCUGGCCUGCGGUGGAAGUAGCUGGCCACCGUUGUCCCCUCAAGCUGUGGGGUGGCUGUGACCAGCUGUGGGACUGGCAGGGUGGCAGAUGGACUAUCAGUGUGGAAAAGAUGGAGCUGCAGGCCUGGUGAAAAGGGACUGCGCUGAAGGGAGCACCAAGAGAAAAUGGCUCCUGGCCUCAGCAGGCAGCAGUGGGGACCUCAGCCUUUGGUGCAUAUGUUUGAGGUGCUCGUGGCUUAUACCCACCUCCUCCUGGAGAUGAUUUGGACUGCUCACACACAUUGCUGGGUUCUUGAUUACCUGUAAUCAGUAACGGGGAAGAGACUUGAGGUCUCUGCACUGAAACCCUCUGCUCAAUACCUAGCAGUGAUUUUGCUUUAUUCCCUUCUUCCCUUUUGAAAAGAAAAAAUUAAAAAGGGUGAGGAUGCAUGAAGAUUGGAAUAGAAAACAUUGACAAUCAUAUCAUACCACUGUAUAAAUCAAUAGUAUGCACUUGACUGGAAUAAUACUGAUUGCUGUAUCCUGUGAAAGUUAGAGAGAAUUGAGAUGGGUUUUGAAACUCUGAGACUGGCCCUUUUCGAGAGGUGCCCAGGCACGUUAUGGGCUGCUUGGGGAAGUGCUAAGUGAAAACCCCAGCCUGUGUUAUGCAAAGGGUUAAGCAAGACCACCAAAAUGGUCUAAAAGUGUACGUAUGUGGGUAAACCAACCAGCCCAACUACAGCCCUGGCACUGGAUGGGAGAACGUAACAGGAUGCUUCCAGCCCAGCACUGCUGUAUGUGGAAUGCCGUACCAAAGGGCACAAAUGUUCAGUGGCGUUGAUCACCAGGAGACUAAAAUAUAACCCUCAUUAUUCAUCUCUUGUCCAGCUGCAAUGUUGGCUCAGAAUUCAGAUCGAGGAACUUAAUUACCUAAUAUUUAAGUGCAGUGCUUAAACAGUAAAAGUUCUCUCCAGGAUUGUGAAGCAGGGUAUUAACUUGGGAGGAAAGGCUGGGUUGUCACCUUGAGCCCAUGCGAUGCCACUCAUCAGCGAGACGCUGCUCCCUGUUAGCAGGAGGGACUCUAAAAAUGACAAGCACAGCCUUCUAUUUCUAGAGGAUUCAACAUUUAAUUACUUUGUUGCUGUCUCCUGUAAAAUUGCUUCAGGCGCGAGAACACCCCAGGCUCCCCGGUGCCGGAGAAGAGGUUGUUCAGCCUGAAGAGAUGACACUCGGCUGAGCUUUUGGUGCUCGGUGCGGUCCCAGCAGCAGCAUGCUUGCAGUGGUUAUGAAUGACCAGCACUUGGCAGGGCUUUCAUGUGCUCGUCAGGGCAAGAAGCCUUAUCUCUGCCUGCGCUGGUGCAGCUGACUCCUUCGGGGAGCUUUUGGUAGUUUGACAGAGCCUUGUUUUUCAGCAUUCGAGCUCUAGUUGGAGGUGUCCCCAGUUCUGUAGCCAUGCUGCUUGAGGACUUCAGGACUCAGUUUUCCUACCAUGUAGACUACUCUGAACACAACUGAGGAAAAAGUAACUGUCAGCACUGUGUCUCUGGUGCAAAAAGCUAUUUCAGCAUCAAAUGCUCAGGCAAAAACUUCCUUGGAAGUAGUGCCUGUGGGCAUUUGACAAGCCUGUUUGGUCAUAAAUGUCCUCUUCCCUUGUGAGAAAGCAGUAAUGUUCUCUGGGCUCCAACUCUGCCCAGACCAGGCAAGAUGAAGUCAUCUGUGGACUCAGUCUCUGUCAAGUUACUGCAUGUCAGCAAAUUAAUAGCACCUUUCCCUCUCUGCCACCACACUCGCAUGGCCUCCCUUUGCAGGGAGGGCUAAUCUAAGUGAAAUUACUUCCCGUAGGGCCUCCUGAGUUCCCCAGGGGCAGGAGGCUCUGCAGCAUGAACUCAAACCUUAUUUGACGCAAAAAUCCACAGGAGUGAGUUGUUAUAAAUGCCCCAAGGGCAGGCAAAGUUUCAGCUGGUGCUUUCUCUCCCUUACACACCGAAGUCAAUCAAUCACGAGAUGCAAAUCCAUAGAAAAUGAGGCUUCAUUAGUUCUGCGGCUCACAGCGUUCCCUUGGGGCUUUGUUGGCUUCUUUUUUCCCCCUCUCCUUUAAUGUUAUAUUACGUGGCUUUGAGGUUCUUGUGCUUAAUGUGGCCAGGUAUGUUUGAGGGAGCAGUGUUUGAGGGGCAGUCUUGCUCUCCAUUACCAUCCUUCUGGAGUCCAUCUGAGACUUUGGGCGGUUGCAGUUGGAAAUGGAAGGAUAAUACUCUCCCCCUCUUACAAGCUUUGUCCAAUGGACAAGAACUUACAACGUGGUAUGAUUCUGCCUGUGACUUGGUCAAGAAAAGGGACUGCUUUUUAAUGAGGUGUUCUCAUGGGGUUGUUUCAGUUUAACUUCCUGAAGAGGUGCAGGGUGAACAACAAAUGGGUACGGGCAUCUUAGCUCAGCAUUUGCCUGCUGUCUUCAAGGACCUGGUCAAGGCUCCUGCAAGCAAAGAUGGGGCAAUGUGAAAGGCAGCAAUUUUGUUUUGCCAUCCUGCUGUUAUGGAAUAUUAAACACUGAACAAUUUUGCAGGCCCUCUCUGGAGCAUUAACAAGUCCUCUGUGAAUGGAUGUACUGUGCUAGUCAGACCUUGGAGAUGCAGAAUCCCAAUUACUGCUUAGUAAGGAACUUCAAAGCCACUUCUGCAUAUGAAAACUAUGUGGAAAUUUCACUAAACAAUUAGUAAGCUACAGGUAUGUGUAUUUUCCACAUAGAUGUAUAUUUUUCCCGUAACAUUCUUGAUUUCUAUUAGCCGCUCUGAUGUAACAAGGUGUUUAGUCUUUGCUUACCAUCUUUUGGUCCCGUAGCAGCAAAAUAAUGGGUAUGGCAGGGGGCAGUGAGAAGGUCUGCUGAGGCCUUCUGAAAUGGUCAUGGCUGGUCGUGGCCUGGUCUGAAUUAGGAUUAGCAAUGCUGUUCUGUUAAACGUGACCUUAGGUUAGGCCCCUGAGAUGUUAAAGCAGAUAAAUGUUUUGUUGUAGAAAUGGGUUGUUCCCAGUAAGAGAUGAUGAUGGAGAUUGAUGGUGCCUUACUCUGGUUUUGUCCCGAUAGGGAUUGAAUAGGAGAUGAAGGGUUUUUCAAAAACAAAAUGACAAAGUAAAAAUAAUAAAAAAACAACUUUAAGGUGUUUUGGGACAGCCUGAGCUGAAACCCCUGU